Molecule: ribosomal RNA, 253 nt
Filed under: uncultured bacterium
Lineage: Bacteria
Description: partial 16S ribosomal RNA
Rfam family: Bacterial small subunit ribosomal RNA
Source: RNAcentral
UACGAAGGGGGCUAGCGUUGCUCGGAAUCACUGGGCGUAAAGGGUGCGUAGGCGGGUCUGCAAGUCGGGGGUGAAAUCCCGAGGCUCAACCUCGGAACUGCCUUCGAUACUGCGGGUCUCGAGUCCGGGAGAGGUGAGUGGAAUUCCUAGUGUAGAGGUGAAAUUCGUAGAUAUUAGGAAGAACACCAGUGGCGAAGGCGGCUCACUGGCCCGGUACUGACGCUGAGGCGCGAAAGCGUGGGGAGCAAACAGG